GGUUUCCUGCCUUCUCUUAGUUUUCAGCCUGACCUUUCUUUACUUUCUUGUUAACUGACAGAUGAAUUUAAAAAGAUUGAAAAUUAUAUUUUAUCUAGCAUUUGUAGUUGUUUUCAGCAGGAAGAUUGAUCUAGGGAAACAGUCUGUCAUUUUUGUCGCAAACUGAACUGCUUUGACUUUUUGUUUUAGGGCUCUGGGGCCUGGUCAACAACGCAGGCGUUAUUCACUCAUCUGCCUACAGUGAGUGGCUGAACAUGGAGGCCUAUGUCAACGUCCUCAAAGUCAACCUCCUUGGUGUCAUUGAGGUGACCUUGAGCAUGCUUCCCUUGGUCAGGAAAGCCCAGGGGAGGAUUGUCAACGUCUCCAGCAUUCUGGGAAGAAUUGCUUUCUUUGGAGGCGUCUACUGAAGCUCCAAGUAUGGAGUAGAAGCCUUUUCGGAUGUUCUGAGGUGUGAGCUUCAACAUUUUGGAGUGAAAAUCAGCAUGGUUGAACCUGGCUACUUCAGUACUGGAAUGACAAACGUGCAGGAGUCCUUGGAGAAACUGAAGCAAACCUGGGAAGAAGUCCCCACGCAUAUUAAGGAGAGCUAUGGACAGAAGCUUUUUGAUGCCCAUUACAAUCAAAUCAAACAAGGGCUGUUGGGUGCCAGCACGAACCUGAACCUGGUCACUGACUGCAUGGAGCACGCUCUGACGUCUGUGCACCCCCGCACUCGGUACUCAAGCGGCUGGGAUGCUCAGUUUUUCUUCAUCCCUCUAUCUUACUUACCUACAUCUCUGGCAGACUACAUCCUGACUAGGUCUUGGCCCAAACCAGCUCAGGCAGUCUGAAGAAAACUGGUCUGCUGGCUCCUGAAACAAAGAAGACAAACAUCUGAUAUUGAUUGUUAGCAUCUCAAUAAUCCUUAUUUAGAACUGCACAUUUUGUAAUAACAAGCUUUCUUGCCUAAACUUAUUUAUCUGGUGUCAUCAGGGAGCCAAGAUGUUUAUAGUCCAGAUAGCCAAAGCUUAUUCCUUUAGAGAUGACUCUUUCCUAUUUUAAUCUUCUUUUGAUGAUGGUAUUUCCAAAAUGCAUCAUGCUUCCUUACCUUAUUAAACAGAACAGACUGAAAACAAUUUAACUUGUUUUGAUGUUAUUUCUUUAUGUAAAUGAAUAGCUCUUCUGUGCUGUGAUAAAUUAUUGCUCAGGGCCUGUUGAGAAAUAUCCUCACUUGAAAUGGAUCUGUACUGAUACUUUUAAUAAAUAUUUUUUUUGUUUUCUCCUCUCUA
Non-coding RNA from Equus caballus (horse), 1268 nucleotides. The record is from RefSeq and is a predicted model, not a curated record. Lineage: Eukaryota; Metazoa; Chordata; Mammalia; Perissodactyla; Equidae.